UGAUCCAGCCAUGCCGCGUGGGUGAAGAAGGCUUCGGGUUGUAAAGCCUUUCGGUGCUAAGAAUCUNUNCGUGUUUAUCACCACGCACUUUUGNCGGUACCCACAGAAGAAGCCCCGGCUAACUACGUGCCAGCAGCCGCGGUAAUACGUAGGGUGCAGGCKUUAAUCGGAAUUACUGGGCGUAAAGCGUGCGCAGGCGGUUUGCUAAGACAGGUGUGAAAUCCCCGCGGCUUAACCUGGGAACUGCGCUUGUAACUUGCAGUCUAGAGUGUGGCAGAGGGGGGUGGAAUUCCAGGUGUAGCAGUGAAAUGCGUAGAUAAUCUGGAGGAACACCGAUGGCGAAGGCGGCCCCUCGGGUAAUCUUGCCGCUCUBCCGAAAGUCGUCGGGGGCAAACAGGAUUAGAUACCUGUAUCACGCCUAA
Molecule: ribosomal RNA, 422 nt
Filed under: uncultured Halochromatium sp.
Lineage: Bacteria; Pseudomonadati; Pseudomonadota; Gammaproteobacteria; Chromatiales; Chromatiaceae
Description: bacterial SSU rRNA
Rfam family: Bacterial small subunit ribosomal RNA
Source: RNAcentral